Molecule: long non-coding RNA, 1136 nt
Organism: Trematomus bernacchii (emerald rockcod)
Lineage: Eukaryota; Metazoa; Chordata; Actinopteri; Perciformes; Nototheniidae
Exons: 3
Source: RefSeq, a predicted model, not a curated record
AAACAGUGAUGCAGUUGAAUAUAUUGUAUAAAACCCACAACAUAUUAUUAUCCAACGCUUGUGAAGUGUACAAUGAAUCGACAACUAACUUACCUGCCGGUUUUCUGUGUCAGGAGACCGAAUAAAUCAAUGUUAGUAGUUGUCAAGGCCUAAAAACGGGUCACAGCAGGAAUGGAUGGCGCACAUGACUCAGUGGUGAAACAGAUUACCGACUUGUAAUGACACAUACAGGCAGGCUGGGUAAAAGCUGAAGAUCCACGGCAGAGUAUCUGAAGGUACAGACGCUGGAUAUUGAGGCUGGGUGCCUGGAGGGCUCGGACCAUGCUGCUCAUAAUAGAGAAAAAAAGGUACAUCGCUCCUGUGACUGUUCCCAUCCAAACCAUACAGAGGUCAUCAUCUCUGCUGAGUAACAAUAAAGGAAGAGAAAGAGGGAUAACAUGUGGAUACGAUCAGGACAGGAGAGACAUAAAGGAGAAUGCACUUCUUAUAUGCCUAUAUCUAAAAGGUACAUGCUCAGUUAUGAUGUUUCUCAAAGUGACCAUGAGGGAAAAUUACAGCAAGACUACCGUACAUUUGCCAGAAGAUCUGUCAUUCCCCUCCUUAAAUACAUGUUGUUUCCUGUUUACACAGGAAGUAACAAGAUUCCCUGUAGUCAAGUGUCCGCUGAAGUGUUCCAACCUGAAUGACAUUGAGCUCCUUCGACUGGCUGGUGCAAAGGGCUGACUAAAAGCUAAUCAGGCUGUAAUUCAAGAUUCGCCCAGCCACUUACAAUCAAUACUCGCACAAUCCCAAUUAAAGCUUGCCGGGUCAAUGGAGGGCCACCAAUUCCUUUACAAGUUAAAUGCAAUACUUAAAUCUAAAGCAAUCUCAGUGUGGCCUUCAAUGGUUUAAUGGCUCGUGCCAACAGGAGUGUCCAGUUAAAAGUGCAAGAAGGAUACAGCGUGGACAGGUUAUAGUGAUUAAUACUUCCUUACCCCACAAAUACGUGCACACUUUUUAAAUAUCAUAUUAAAUGCAGGAUCUUACUUGGAAAGUUAGCAUUUUUACGAGUGGAUGAAGUAUCUGAAUACUUUAUUCAGUACUACAUUUGCAUAGCUUUAGAUACUAGCUACUCUGAGGAUUCAAACAAAUGUUUA